RNAcentral lists this transfer RNA (72 nucleotides) under Camelus bactrianus (Bactrian camel). It matches the Rfam family "tRNA". From Rfam's summary of the family: Transfer RNA (tRNA) molecules are approximately 80 nucleotides in length. Their secondary structure includes four short double-helical elements and three loops (D, anti-codon, and T loops). The record is from Rfam by way of RNAcentral. Lineage: Eukaryota; Metazoa; Chordata; Mammalia; Artiodactyla; Camelidae. RNAcentral also lists the same sequence under 2 other names.
GAGGGUGUAGCUCAGUGGUAGAGCGCAUACUUCCUAUGCAUGAGCUCCUGCGUUCAAUCCCCAGUACCUCCU